This 337-nucleotide unclassified non-coding RNA is filed under the name soil metagenome. RNAcentral describes it as "partial contains 5.8S ribosomal RNA, internal transcribed spacer 2, and large subunit ribosomal RNA". The stretch from base 1 to 120 matches the Rfam family "5.8S ribosomal RNA", at positions 35 to 154 of the family's 154-position model. The record is from RNAcentral.
GAUGAAGAACGUAGUGAAAUGCGAUAAGUAAUGUGAAUUGCAGAAUUCCGUGAAUCAUCGAAUCUUUGAACGCACAUUGCGCCCCCUGGCAUUCCGGGGGGCAUGCCUGUCCGAGCGUCAUUUCUGCCCUCAAGCACGGCUUGUGUGUUGGGUGCGGUCCCCCCGGGGACCUGCCCGAAAGGCAGCGGCGACGUCCGUCUGGUCCUCGAGCGUAUGGGGCUCUGUCACUCGCUCGGGAAGGACCUGCGGGGGUUGGUCACCACUAUAUUUUACCACGGUUGACCUCGGAUCAGGUAGGAGUUACCCGCUGAACUUAAGCAUAUCAAUAAGCGGAGGA